GAUGAACGCUGGCGGCGUGCCUAAUACAUGCCAGUCGAGCGAACAGAUAAGGAGCUUGCUCCUUUGACGUUAGCGGCGGACGGGUGAGUAACACGUGGGUAACCUACCUAUAAGACUGGGAUAACUUCGGGAAACCGGAGCUAAUACCGGAUAAUAUUUCGAACCGCAUGGUUCGAUAGUGAAAGAUGGUUUUGCUAUCACUUAUAGAUGGACCCGCGCCGUAUUAGCUAGUUGGUAAGGUAACGGCUUACCAAGGCGACGAUACGUAGCCGAACUGAGAGGGUGAUCGGCCACACUGGAACUGAGACACGGUCCAGACUCCUACGGGAGGCAGCAGUAGGGAAUCUUCCGCAAUGGGCGAAAGCCUGACGGAGCAACGCCGCGUGAGUGAUGAAGGUCUUCGGAUCGUAAAACUCUGUUAUUAGGGAAGAACAUACGUGUAAGUAACUGUGCACGUCUUGACGGUACCUAAUCAGAAAGCCACGGCUAACUACGUG
This 497-nucleotide ribosomal RNA is filed under the name uncultured bacterium. RNAcentral describes it as "partial 16S ribosomal RNA". It matches the Rfam family "Bacterial small subunit ribosomal RNA", at positions 28 to 507 of the family's 1533-position model. The record is from RNAcentral.